This 83-nucleotide transfer RNA is filed under the name Oryctolagus cuniculus (rabbit). It matches the Rfam family "tRNA". Rfam says of the family: Transfer RNA (tRNA) molecules are approximately 80 nucleotides in length. Their secondary structure includes four short double-helical elements and three loops (D, anti-codon, and T loops). Further hydrogen bonds mediate the characteristic L-shaped molecular structure. tRNAs have two regions of fundamental functional importance: the anti-codon, which is responsible for specific mRNA codon recognition, and the 3' end, to which the tRNAs corresponding amino acid is attached (by aminoacyl-tRNA synthetases). tRNAs cope with the degeneracy of the genetic code in two manners: having more than one tRNA (with a specific anti-codon) for a particular amino acid; and 'wobble' base-pairing, i.e. permitting non-standard base-pairing at the 3rd anti-codon position. Lineage: Eukaryota; Metazoa; Chordata; Mammalia; Lagomorpha; Leporidae. The record is from Rfam by way of RNAcentral.
GGCGCUGUGGCACAGUGGGUUAAUGCCCUGGCCUGAAGCGCCGGCAUCCCAUGUGGGUGCCGGUUCAAGUCCUGGCUGCGCCA